RNAcentral lists this ribosomal RNA (443 nucleotides) under Salmonella enterica subsp. enterica serovar Anatum. RNAcentral describes it as "bacterial SSU rRNA". It matches the Rfam family "Bacterial small subunit ribosomal RNA", at positions 338 to 795 of the family's 1533-position model. Lineage: Bacteria; Pseudomonadati; Pseudomonadota; Gammaproteobacteria; Enterobacterales; Enterobacteriaceae. The record is from RNAcentral.
CCUACGGGCGGCAGCAGUCGAGAAUCUUCCGCAAUGGGCGAAAGCCUGACGGAGCGACGCCGCGUGGUUGAUGAAGUCCUUCGGGACGUAAAAACCUUUUAUGAUUAAGAAAGUUUAUUGAUCUGAUCAUGAAUAAGGGGCUACUAACUCUGUGCCAGCAGUAGCGGUAAUACAGAGGCCCCAAGCGUUGUCCGGAAUCACUGGGCGUAAAGGGUGUGUAGGUGGUCUUGUUAGUCCUCCGUUAAAACCCGCGGCUCAACCGCGGAAAUGCGAAGGAAACGGCAAGACUUAGAGGGUGCGAGAGGUGAAUGGAACUCAUGGAGUAGGGGUGAAAUCCGUUGAUAUCAUGGGGAACACCAAAGGCGAAGGCAACACACUGGCGCAUUUCUGACCCUGAAACACGAAAGCGUGGGUAGCGAAUGGGAUUAGAUACCCGUGUAGUC